Molecule: long non-coding RNA, 2239 nt
Organism: Stegodyphus dumicola
Lineage: Eukaryota; Metazoa; Arthropoda; Arachnida; Araneae; Eresidae
Source: RefSeq, a predicted model, not a curated record
UUUAAUUAACUUGAAAAAAUAUGUUUUAACAUAAUAAAUUAUAACUUAAGAAAUAAUUCAAUCAUAUAAUUUCAAAAUAAAGGAUUUAAGAAUGAAUGUGACCUAAAAUUUCUCUGAAAGCUUUGUUAAUCAAGUAUUAUCUUAUGUGAUCCUAUGUAGAAUCUUGCCUGGUUUUAACUGUGCCCUACAUUUAUUUUAUUUCGUUCUUGAUUAUUGAAGUAUUUUUCAUCUGAAAUAGGUCCUGAUGCUGUUAAAAGAGUACCAGUUCAUAUGCGCCUUGGAACCCUACCUCGUAAACGGCUUAUACAGAUGACUAAAGAUGUUGAAGCAGCUUUUAUUAAUAGCAGCAGUGAUGAUGAGACUGAUGUAAAUAUAAAAUGUAAAAAGCAAAAUAUUCGUAUUGUUACUGAAAUGUAUGGAAACAAAGAUGCAGAAAUUAACAAACAUCCCACUGAAAAUGAAGUGGAAAGGCACGUUUCGAGAGAAAGAUUACGAAGAUUGAAGAAUUACAGGUGAUCAUUGUAACAGGUGCAUCUUUGCCAUGGCGAUAUUUUGCUACAGAUAACAGUGACAUUAAAAACUGUUUCCUGUUUACUUUAUGUAUAUGAUUAACUGUGUUGAAAGUUGAACAGAAAAUGUACAUAUGAUGUCCAAUACUGCAUGUCCAGAAAUGCAUUCAUUUACACUGGAUGAAUAGUUGAAGAGAAAAUACAGCUUCCAUUUUCUGAUGCAAGGACCUGUAUAUGGUUUGAAAUUUGUACAUAUUGUUAUGUAAAUACAAUUGAUUUUUUUUUUUAAGAUGCUUGGUCGAGCUUUAUAGUCUCUCAAAUGUUCAAAAUUUUAAUUAUGCAUUUGUGGGAGCAUAUCCAUAAUGGAGAGUUAUGAAGUUCUCCUCCAGACUCUUAUUUUAUUUUAAUAUUCAACUGCCAGCUAUAAAAAAAAUUUCAAGAUUUAUAUAAUAUGAUUAACAUAAAAACUUUUGCAGCAAAAUUAUUAUUUAUUAUUAUUUUGGGUGCAUAUGGGUUUCACAUUUAGGUUUAGAACAUACAAAUUAUGUUCUGAACCUUAUGACUGUUAUGAUACUCUAAAAUUUAUUGUUUUAGGGGGGAUUUCAUGUUUGGUUUUGAAAGUAUUUUGUACUGUUGAAAGCCUGGAGUGAAAUAAUUAUGCUUAAAUUGUAUUUGUUUUGCAAAGUAUGAAAUUUCAUUCUAGCAUUAUGUGUAUUCAAGUAGCAGUGUCAUGCAACUAGCAAUUAUCCAUUGCCAAUUUACAAACUUUUAUUUGUGAAUAUGUAUUUGAUAACAGGACAUAUUAUUUUGUAUGAUUAGAGUAAUUAAAGUGAGAUUUGCCCAUUUUUAGUAGUAGAAAGAAUUUUUUAAUUUUGAAAAUGUAAACAAAGAUGUGAUAUUUGUCUGAAAACUGCAAAUGUAAAGUCGAAUAUUUUAUGUUUGUGUUUUCUUUGUCAAGAGAAGAGGUUGAACUUAGAGGAAUUGAUUUUAUUUCUUUUACUAAGGUUAUAGAAAUAGUAACAAAAAUUUGAAAAAAAUCCAAGAACAUUUACAUGUUCUUAAUUAAAGGUAAUUUUGAAUUUGAGGAUGAAAUGCAUCCUCAAAGUGAAAUCUUUAUUAAGUAUGUUUGUUGUAUUUUAAGGUUGUAUUCUCCCCUUCUUCUGUUUACUUCUAUAGCUGGCAGUUGUCUUAGAAUACUUUUUAUACUAAUAUAUAGAAACUCAGUCCAAAAUGUUUAUCUGAAAUAUAUUAAUUUGAAAGAAUACUCAGAUUUUUAGAAAGGGAUUACUUUAAUUGUUUAGAAAUUAAUUUCUUAUAGUUAAUUAACCAUUUUUUCAAUUUGAGUGAUAGUUAAAUGUCAUUGUGUACACAAUCAACAUAUAAGAGUAUUAAAAUCAACUCAAAACUGAACAGUCAAUUGCAUGCAAGCUUUAUUUAAAAAUUUGUACCUAAUUUCAUAUUAACAGUUAUUUCUGUUAUUUGAGUAUUAUUUUAAUCAUUUUUAAAACACUAUAAAUUUGUUACUCAUUCUUUAUUUAACCUAGCUAGUGAUAGUCAGUUCUAAUUUAAAACCCUAGAUUUAUAUCAGAAUAUUAAUGCAAGUGUAAUAAAUUGGAAUGCUCUCAUUAAAUUUAUCUGAAAAAUUUUUAGUAUAAUUUAAAAUUUCACAUGUAUAUGUAGCUUUGUAAAAAAAUUUUUCCCCCAAAUAAAGUUUCAAUAACUUGUUUUUA